Long non-coding RNA from Onychostoma macrolepis, 288 nucleotides. RefSeq lists it as uncharacterized. Lineage: Eukaryota; Metazoa; Chordata; Actinopteri; Cypriniformes; Cyprinidae. The transcript has 3 exons. The record is from RefSeq and is a predicted model, not a curated record.
GUGUGCCAUGAAAUAUGUAAUGUAAUGCGUGUUGUAAAGAUCGCGAGCGAAAACAAAACAAAAAGAAAAGCUUACAGCGGCACGAGUCGUGACUGUCAUGUUAACCUGAUGGAACCAAACUUCCUCUGUACAUCUGGAAAAAGGGGGUCGUCUUAUAAUCAGGGUCGUCUUAUAUUCGGGACAAUACGACUGUUUUCACUCAGGUCCAGCACCCUAAGGUUCGGAAGGUUUGGAAGCAGUCCUGUUUCCAGAACAGAGCAGCCGUGUGUGGUGAUUCUGCAGUAUGAG